RNAcentral lists this ribosomal RNA (385 nucleotides) under uncultured bacterium. Its description in RNAcentral is "bacterial SSU rRNA". It matches the Rfam family "Bacterial small subunit ribosomal RNA", at positions 29 to 417 of the family's 1533-position model. The record is from RNAcentral.
AUUGAACGCUGGCGGAAUGCUUUACACAUGCAAGUCGAACGGCAGCACGGGGCAAACCUGGUGGCGAGUGGCGAACGGGUGAGUAAUACAUCGGAACGUGCCCAAUCGUGGGGGAUAACGUAGCGAAAGUUACGCUAAUACCGCAUACGAUCUACGGAUGAAAGCGGGGGAUCGCAAGACCUCGCGCGAUUGGAGCGGCCGAUGGCAGAUUAGGUAGUUGGUGGGGUAAAGGCCUACCAAGCCUGCGAUCUGUAGCUGGUCUGAGAGGACGACCAGCCACACUGGGACUGAGACACGGCCCAGACUCCUACGGGAGGCAGCAGUGGGAAUUUUGGACAAUGGGCGCAAGCCUGAUCCAGCCAUACCGCGUGCGGGAAGAAGGCCU